RNAcentral lists this unclassified non-coding RNA (312 nucleotides) under plant metagenome. RNAcentral's name for it is "partial contains 5.8S ribosomal RNA, internal transcribed spacer 2, and large subunit ribosomal RNA". The stretch from base 1 to 105 matches the Rfam family "5.8S ribosomal RNA", at positions 50 to 154 of the family's 154-position model. The record is from RNAcentral.
GAAAUGCGAUAAGUAAUGUGAAUUGCAGAAUUCCGUGAAUCAUCGAAUCUUUGAACGCACAUUGCGCCCUCUGGCAUUCCGGGGGGCAUGCCUGUCCGAGCGUCAUUACGCACCCUCAAGCCCGGCUUGUGUGAUCGGCCCCGGCGUCUCGUUCGCGAGACGGGCCCGAAAGGCAGCGGCGGCGUCGACCCGAUGAGCCCGAGCGUAUGGGGACUUCUGUCACACGUUCGCGGUGCGGACCGGCGCCUGCUUGACUUUUCUGAUUAUCCAGGUUGACCUCGGAUCAGGUAGGGAUACCCGCUGAACUUAAGC